UACGGGGGGGGCAAGCGUUGUUCGGAAUUACUGGGCGUAAAGGGUUCGUAGGUGGCUCGCUAAGUCAGACGUGAAAUCCCUCAGCUUAACUGGGGAACUGCGUCUGAGACUGGUGAGCUUGAGUGCAGGAGAGGAACGCGGAAUUCCAGGUGUAGCGGUGAAAUGCGUAGAGAUCAGGAGGAAGACCAGUGGCGAAGGCGGGUCUCUGGACAGUUCCUGACACUGAGGCACGAAGGCCAGGGGAGCAAACGGG
Molecule: ribosomal RNA, 253 nt
Filed under: uncultured bacterium
Lineage: Bacteria
Description: partial 16S ribosomal RNA
Rfam family: Bacterial small subunit ribosomal RNA
Source: RNAcentral